GCUAACGCGUUAAGUAGACCGCCUGGGGAGUACGGUCGCAAGAUUAAAACUCAAAUGAAUUGACGGGGGCCCGCACAAGCGGUGGAGCAUGUGGUUUAAUUCGAUGCAACGCGAAGAACCUUACCUACUCUUGACAUCCAGAGAACUUUCCAGAGAUGGAUUGGUGCCUUCGGGAACUCUGAGACAGGUGCUGCAUGGCUGUCGUCAGCUCGUGUUGUGAAAUGUUGGGUUAAGUCCCGCAACGAGCGCAACCCUUAUCCUUGUUUGCCAGCGAGUAAUGUCGGGAACUCCAGGGAGACUGCCGGUGAUAAACCGGAGGAAGGUGGGGACGACGUCAAGUCAUCAUGGCCCUUACGAGUAGGGCUACACACGUGCUACAAUGGCGCAUACAGAGGGCAGCAAGCUAGCGAUAGUGAGCGAAUCCCAAAAAGUGCGUCGUAGUCCGGAUUGGAGUCUGCAACUCGACUCCAUGAAGUCGGAAUCGCUAGUAAUCGUGGAUCAGAAUGCCACGGUGAAUACGUUCCCGGGCCUUGUACACACCGCCCGUCACACCAUGGGAGUGGGCUGCAAAAGAAGUAGGUAGUUUAACCUUCGGGAGGAC
This 601-nucleotide ribosomal RNA is filed under the name Vibrio owensii. Its description in RNAcentral is "bacterial SSU rRNA". It matches the Rfam family "Bacterial small subunit ribosomal RNA", at positions 851 to 1451 of the family's 1533-position model. The record is from RNAcentral. Lineage: Bacteria; Pseudomonadati; Pseudomonadota; Gammaproteobacteria; Vibrionales; Vibrionaceae.